Molecule: ribosomal RNA, 360 nt
Filed under: Staphylococcus epidermidis
Lineage: Bacteria; Bacillati; Bacillota; Bacilli; Caryophanales; Staphylococcaceae
Description: partial 23S ribosomal RNA
Source: RNAcentral
ACGGUACUGGUUCACUAUCGGUCACUAGAGAGUAUUUAGCCUUAGGAGAUGGUCCUCCCAGAUUCCGACGGAAUUUCACGUGCUCCGUCGUACUCAGGAUCCACUCAAGAGAGAAUAUGUUUUCGACUACAGGAUUAUUACCUUCUUUGAUUCAUCUUUCCAGAUGAUUCGUCUAACAUGUUCUUUUGUAACUCCGUAUAGAGUGUCCUACAACCCCAACAAGCAAGCUUGUUGGUUUGGGCUCUUCCCGUUUCGCUCGCCGCUACUCAGGGAAUCGAUUUUUCUUUCUCUUCCUCCGGGUACUAAGAUGUUUCAGUUCUCCGGGUCUGCCUUCUGACAUGCUAUGAAUUCACAUGUCGA